UACGUAGGGAGCAAGCGUUAUCCGGAUUUACUGGGUGUAAAGGGUGCGUAGGCGGCUUGGUAAGUCUAAAGUGAAAUUUCGGGGCUCAACCCCAGAUCAGCGUUGGAUACUGGCAGGCUAGACGGUUGGAGAGGCGAGUGGAAUUACCAGUGUAGCGGUGGAAUGCGUAGAUACUGGUAGGAACACCCAUUGCGAAGGCAGCUCGCUGGACAACACGUGACGCUGAGGCACGAAAGCGUGGGGAGCAAACGGGAUUAGAUACCCCCGUAGU
This 271-nucleotide ribosomal RNA is filed under the name uncultured prokaryote. RNAcentral's name for it is "partial 16S ribosomal RNA". It matches the Rfam family "Bacterial small subunit ribosomal RNA", at positions 524 to 794 of the family's 1533-position model. The record is from RNAcentral.